UUUUAAGUCUAACCUGCCCAAUGAUUAAUUGAAUGGCCGCAGUAAUUUGACUGUGCAAAGGUAGCAUAAUCAUUAGUUUUUUAAUUGAAAGCUGGUAUGAAUGGUUGGACGAGAAAAAUACUGUCUCAAAUUAAUUUUAAUCAGAAUUUUAUUUUUAAGUUAAAAAGCUUAGAUGUUUUUAAAAGACGAGAAGACCCUAUAGAGUUUUAUAUAUUUAUUAAUAGUAUUUAUUAGGUAAUUUUUAGGAUUUAUUGGUAAGUAUAUUUUAUUGGGGUGAUAGUAAAAUUUAAUUAACUUUUAUUAAUAUUUAACAUUAAUUAAUGAAUAAUUGAUCCAUAUUUUAUGAUUAUAAGAUUAAAUUACCUUAGGGAUAACAGCGUAAUUUUUUUUGAGAGUUCUUAUCGAAAGAAAAGAUUGCGACCUCGAUGUUGGAUUAAAGUUAACUUUUGGUGCAGGAGCUAAAAAGGGUUGGGUCUGUUCGACCUUUAAAAUUUUACAUGAUCUGAGUUUAAACCGGUGUAAGCCAGGUUGGUUUCUAUCUUUAAAUUGUUAGUAUAUUUUAGUACGAAAGGAAUUGGUAUAUAUAAUAUUUAUUUUAUUUUGAAUGUUAAUA
This 613-nucleotide ribosomal RNA is filed under the name Congella cf. valida DA-2011. RNAcentral describes it as "partial 16S large subunit ribosomal RNA". It matches the Rfam family "Bacterial large subunit ribosomal RNA", at positions 1846 to 2734 of the family's 2925-position model. The record is from RNAcentral. Lineage: Eukaryota; Metazoa; Arthropoda; Insecta; Coleoptera; Scarabaeidae.